Long non-coding RNA from Helianthus annuus (common sunflower), 1903 nucleotides. RefSeq lists it as uncharacterized. NCBI's taxonomy places the organism in Eukaryota, Viridiplantae, Streptophyta, Magnoliopsida, Asterales, Asteraceae. The transcript is spliced from 3 exons. The record is from RefSeq and is a predicted model, not a curated record.
CCAACAACGCGUAUCUUCAUCCUCACUUCUGACUGCACAUAUAGACUGAGACAAAAGGAGAAAGAUGUGAGAUAAAGGAGACGGCGACAACGAUUUUGGUUACAAAGCGAUGGCUUCUGUAAAAAAAGGUUCAGUGGUUAGCGGCGGCGGCGGUUAGGGUUCCGCCAUGAAACAUGGUAUUGGCAGUGUUUUCUUCAUCAGAAUCGCUAUCGGGUGGGCUAAGUUCUAGGGUUUCGGCCGCCGUUCAGUUGAAGGUAAUAACAAUUAAGAAGGCAAUGAUGGAGGUUCUAGUUACAGGUAUGGCGGUGACUUCAGAAACAAACUCCGGUGACUUAACUAGGGUUCCAGCAAGAUUACGUCGCCUUUUUACACUGUAAGUUUGGUUUUCUUGAAGGUUCAAGGACCGAUGAUGAUGGUAUCACACACCACCCGUCCAAAACCCACUGCCCUGCCCCUUCUCCAUUGACCAUCGCAGGUGUGAAGGAGUGGGUCUAGAGAGAGCGAAACAGAUCGGAGAAGAUAUGAGAGACAAAGACGGAGUAGGGUUCUCCGGCGUCGACAACGGUGAAGAGGCAUCCCCUGGCCUGAGGCAAUCUGGUGUUAUCAACAGGUUAUGCAUUCGAUUCUGAUUUGUUGACCCUUUUUUCCCGGCCAUACAUUAAUUAAUUAGUUGAUUCCACAUUCCCUAGGUUUUAAAAAAGAGAUAAUGAUUGAUUUAAGGUGUUUAAUUUGUGAAACUGGUAUGCAUUUUGUUAUUUUAUUUCAAUACAUCUCAAACCUUCUUUCAAAAUAAAUUAUAUAGAUUUAAAUUUGAACACAAUGGGUUAAUUUUGGGUACAUUUGUUGCAGAACAUUGGCAGUUAGAAUCACAUAUUUGUUUAGAAUAUUAGUUGUUUAAGUGGUUGUAGUCAAUUGGAAAACACACGUCUAAACGCCCCUUAAUCAGUCCCCUAUAUUGUGGUUAGUCUUUAUGAUUGUAGGCCAACAAUGAAGAUGUUUUAAAUCCCAAUCGAAAUGUUGAUGAGCUCCGAUGGAACCAGAAAGAACUAAUGGAAUGGCAGGUCAAUCUACCUGCUGGAUUCAAACACGAAGUCAUUAAUAAUCUCCAAAGGAUUUCGUGAAGGCUAUGGUGAUGCAUUUUAGCUCUUUUGUAUGAGCUUGAGCAAGGAUAAGAUUUCAGUGUGCCUUGGUUACAAAGCUGAGAAGGUCAUGUAAUUGACUAUGCUAUCACACGGCAACUGGUUUGUGUACAACCAUGAUACGUUUGCUUUACUUCUUUGAUUAAUUAUCUAUCUGAGCAUAAUCAUUGUCUUUGGCCAGCUCCUAAAAUCCUAAUCACUUAUUUUCACUAUUUCAGUUACAAGGGGCUAUGACGGUUAAUGGUUCUUACAUAGCUAUGUUGUCUUUAUCCUUUUGAUCUUACCAAUUUGAGCCUCAUCAUAUGACUUAUUGUUUUCACCAUUAUCAUUUUCCUUUUCAUGACUUAGAAAAUUCUAUUGACUCAUGUUUCCUUUUCUUUCUAUAUCCGUUUUUUAUUCAAAUUGGUCGACAAGAUUUAUACACCUAAUUGUUGCUUGCUUGAUUUACAUAACUGUUUUAAUUAUUUUCCCCUAUUGUCAGGUAGUAGUAUUGCAAUGCUUGCUGGUAGUAGGAAAGUGUGCUCAUAAGAUCUUACACUCAUGUAAAGGAAACAAUGAGAAAAGGGCCAAAGGAGUUAUUGAUGAAAUAUGUGACAACAUUUUAAGACUGUAAAACUUUACAUUUCGUUUUUUGAACCAAACUCGCACAAUGCAUCACCAUCAUAUUAUUAUAUUUUACUAAUUCCAUUACUUAAGUGGUGGUGUUUUUCAUUCCUUAUGGUUUCCUGUGUACCAAGUGAAAUUCUUUGUUACUUUCAAAGUCA